RNAcentral lists this long non-coding RNA (1049 nucleotides) under Nicotiana benthamiana. RNAcentral's name for it is "long non-coding RNA (NBEN_LNC009638)". Lineage: Eukaryota; Viridiplantae; Streptophyta; Magnoliopsida; Solanales; Solanaceae. The record is from RNAcentral.
GACAACAUUUGGAAAUUGAUUUUCUAAAAAUAUGUAAUUAACACUCUACACUGCUAUUUUUUUUCUUUUUUUUCCCAAAUUUUUCUUAUAUUCAAAGCCGGUCAGCAUGCAUGUCUGAUGCAAAUAAAUGCGUAUAACAAAUAGGAUGCAACAGGAUGGUCUUUUCAUUUCAGGUUGCUUGUCCUAGACGGACUCAACCCCUGUGUUGAGCCCCCUAAGUCAAAUACACAUGAUGCAAAAAACGUUCCUACUAGGGAUCCGGCAUGAAGUUUUGUUAUACUAGAUUUAAACCUGGGUUUUUUUUCUAGACCUGGCUUUUUACCCGAGUGGACAACUUGAGCCGAGGAUGGGAGCUGCGUGCCGGUAACCAAAAGAUCCUCCGGUUUUGCAAUCCCACCUAAUCCUCGUACUAAAUUAGGAUUAUGACACUAACAGAAAGAAGUCACGACCAGCGUGCACUCCUCAAGAGGGAGAAGAGAAGGGUUUCGGCACAGUUUAUCUAUACAGUUCAAACAAUAUCAAAGCGGUAAAAAAUCAUAAUUUGCACAUUAAGCACAUAUCACAUGGAAAUAUCAGAAAAUAAAAUAAAGCCAAAAAAAUACAACAAUUUCUAAGCUCGAAUUUUAACCAUGAACCAGUGAUUCUGGGUAUCGUCCCCAGCAGAAUCGCCAGAGCUGUCACACCUCCUUUUUCCGACACCGCGAGGGCGAAAGGGUUAAGGGAGUUUUUCUAAUUAAAGGACAAUCGAAACGAGAUUAUUUAUUAAGAUUCAGAGUCUCCACUUGAGAGAUUUAUGGUGUCCCAAGUCACCGAUUUUAAUCCCGAAUCGAGGAAAAUAAUGACUAUUUUACCGUCUGCGUUCCAGAAAUCUAGAUAAGUAAUUCUAUUAACCCGGGAGAAGGUAUUAGGCAUUUUCGAGUUCCGUGGUUCUAGCAAGGUCGCUCAACUAUCAUAUGCGGCUUAAUUAUCUGAUUUUAUACAAUUGUGAACUUAUGCGCAAUUUUAACUUUUAACCGCUUUUAUUCAAAUUAUUAUUGUUAUUAUUUACA